AACGAACGCUGGCGGCAGGCUUAACACAUGCAAGUCGAGCGCCCCGCAAGGGGAGCGGCAGACGGGUGAGUAACGCGUGGGAAUCUACCUUUUGCUACGGAAUAACUCAGGGAAACUUGUGCUAAUACCGUAUGUGCCCUUCGGGGGAAAGAUUUAUCGGCAAAGGAUGAGCCCGCGUUGGAUUAGCUAGUUGGUGGGGUAAAGGCCCACCAAGGCGACGAUCCAUAGCUGGUCUGAGAGGAUGAUCAGCCACACUGGGACUGAGACACGGCCCAGACUCCUACGGGAGGCAGCAGUGGGGAAUAUUGGACAAUGGGCGCAAGCCUGAUCCAGCCAUGCCGCGUGAGUGAUGAAGGCCCUAGGGUUGUAAAGCUCUUUCACCGGUGAAGAUAAUGACGGUAACCGGAGAAGAAGCCCCGGCUAACUUCGUGCCAGCCGCCGCGGUAA
RNAcentral lists this ribosomal RNA (447 nucleotides) under uncultured bacterium. RNAcentral describes it as "partial 16S ribosomal RNA". It matches the Rfam family "Bacterial small subunit ribosomal RNA", at positions 29 to 523 of the family's 1533-position model. The record is from RNAcentral.